RNAcentral lists this ribosomal RNA (468 nucleotides) under uncultured bacterium. Its description in RNAcentral is "partial 16S ribosomal RNA". It matches the Rfam family "Bacterial small subunit ribosomal RNA", at positions 28 to 507 of the family's 1533-position model. The record is from RNAcentral.
GACGAACGCUGGCGGCGUGCUUAACACAUGCAAGUCGAACGGAAAGGCCCUGCUUUUGUGGGGUGCUCGAGUGGCGAACGGGUGAGUAACACGUGAGUAACCUGCCCUUGACUUUGGGAUAACUUCAGGAAACUGGGGCUAAUACCGGAUAGGAGCUCCUGCUGCAUGGUGGGGGUUGGAAAGUUUCGGCGGUUGGGGAUGGACUCGCGGCUUAUCAGCUUGUUGGUGGGGUAGUGGCUUACCAAGGCUUUGACGGGUAGCCGGCCUGAGAGGGUGACCGGCCACAUUGGGACUGAGAUACGGCCCAGACUCCUACGGGAGGCAGCAGUAGGGAAUAUUGCACAAUGGGCGGAAGCCUGAUGCAGCAACGCCGUGUGCGGGAUGACGGCCUUCGGGUUGUAAACCGCUUUCGCCUGUGACGAAGCGUGAGUGACGGUAAUGGGUAAAGAAGCACCGGCUAACUACGUG